Molecule: ribosomal RNA, 1672 nt
Rfam family: Bacterial large subunit ribosomal RNA
UUGACACCUACUAGCUAGCCCGCCAACAACAAGCAACAACCAUUAUUAAUACCCCCUAAUGCAUUUAAUUAAACAAAACAAAUCACUUUUUCCCCAAGUAUAGGCGAUAGAAAGGGAACACCGGAGCUAUAGUCCAUGUACCGCAAGGGAACGCUGAAAGAGAAAUGAAAUAACCCAGUCAAGAACAAAAAAGCAGAGAUUAAACCUCGUACUUUUUGCAUCAUGAUUUAGCAAGUAAAAUUUAGGCGAAGCGCACUUUAGUCUAACUCCCCGAAACUGAACGAGCUACUCCGAGACAGCCGUUAGGGCCUAUCCGUCUCUGUGGCAAAAGAGUGGAGAGAGCUCCGAGUAGAGGUGACAGACCUACCGAGUUCAGUUAUAGCUGGUUGUCCGAGAACUGAGUCUGAGCUCAGCUUUUUGGCUUCUUGCCUCACAAAUAGUGUUAACAAAACCGACCAUAAGAACCAAAAAAGUUAGUCAAAAGAGGUACAGCUCUUUUGAUACAAGAAACAACUUUUACAGGAGGAUAAGGAUCAUAUACACCAAGGCCUUGUGUUUAAGUGGGCCUAAGAGCAGCCACCUCAUAGAAAGCGUUAAAGCUCAAACACCUCAAUGCCCCCAAUACCGAUAUCUCAUCCCAACCCCUGAUCCCUAUCGGACCCUUCCAUGCUCCCAUGGAAGUGAUUAUGCUAAUAUGAGUAAUAAGGGGCCACGACCCCCUCCAAGCACAAGUGUACCUCGGAACGAACCCCCGCCGAAAUUUAACGAACCCAAACCAAGAGGGCACUGGACUCUAAAAUACGCAACCAGAAAAACAUCCACCCCGACCUCGUUAACCUCACACUAGCGUGCCCAAUAGGAAAGACUAAAAGAAAAAGAAGGAACUCGGCAAACCCAAGCCUCGCCUGUUUACCAGAAACAUCGCCUCUUGUAACCUACAAAUAAGAGGUCCCGCCUGCCCUGUGACUAUGGGUUUAACGGCCGCGGUAUUUUGACCGUGCAAAGGUAGCGCAAUCACUUGUCCUUUAAAUGAGGACCUGUAUGAAAGGCAUCACGAGGGCUUAGCUGUCUCCUUUUUCAAGUCGAUGAAGUUGAUCCCCCCGUGCAGAAGCGGGGAUUAGAACAUAAGACGAGAAGACCCUAUGGAGCUUUAGAUACAAGACAGAUCAUGUUAAGCACCUUAAAUAAAAAAGCAAACUAAGUGGAACCUGUCUUAAUGUCUUUGGUUGGGGCGACCGCGGGGCAACAAAAAGCCCCCAUGAGGAAUAAAAGUAUUCUUUCAAAAACAAGAGCCACAGCUCUAAUGAACAGAACAUCUGACCUACCAGAUCCGGCAUAGCCGAUCAACGAACCGAGUUACCCUAGGGAUAACAGCGCAAUCCCCUUUUAGAGCCCCUAUCGACAAGGGGGUUUACGACCUCGAUGUUGGAUCAGGACAUCCUAAUGGUGUAGCCGCUAUUAAGGGUUCGUUUGUUCAACGAUUAAAGUCCUACGUGAUCUGAGUUCAGACCGGAGUAAUCCAGGUCAGUUUCUAUCUAUGAAGUGCCCUUUUCUAGUACGAAAGGACCGAAAAGGAGGGGCCAUGUUAAAAACACGCCCCACUCCCACCUGCUGCAUCCAACUAAAGCAGGCAAGAGAGCACAACCCCAAGUCAAAGAACAUGGCAUGUUAG